UGAGGAAUAUUGCACAAUGGGCGAAAGCCUGAUGCAGCAACGCCGCGUGAGGGACGAAGGCCUUCGGGUCGUAAACCUCUUUUCUGGGGAAAGAGCAAGGACGGUACCUCAGGAAUAAGUCUCGGCUAACUACGUGCCAGCAGCCGCGGUAAAACGUAGGAGGCGAGCGUUAUCCGGAUUUACUGGGCGUAAAGCGCACGCAGGCGGCUUCGUUAGUCGGAUGUGAAAGCUCCUGGCUUAACUAGGAGAGGCCAUUCGAUACUGCGAGGCUUGAGGCAGGGAGAGGGGUGCGGAAUUCCCGGUGUAGUGGUGGAAUGCGUAGAUAUCGGGAGGAACACCUGUGGCGAAAGCGGCACCCUGGCCCUCGCCUGACGCUGAGGUGCGAAAGCGUGGGGAGUAAACAG
Molecule: ribosomal RNA, 404 nt
Filed under: uncultured bacterium
Lineage: Bacteria
Description: bacterial SSU rRNA
Rfam family: Bacterial small subunit ribosomal RNA
Source: RNAcentral